RNAcentral lists this ribosomal RNA (435 nucleotides) under uncultured bacterium. Its description in RNAcentral is "partial 16S ribosomal RNA". It matches the Rfam family "Bacterial small subunit ribosomal RNA", at positions 29 to 507 of the family's 1533-position model. The record is from RNAcentral.
AACGAACGCUGGCGGCAUGCCUAACACAUGCAAGUCGAACGAUUGCCUUCGGGUGAUAGUGGCGCACGGGUGCGUAACGCGUGGGAAUCUACCCUUAGGUUCGGAAUAACAGCUGGAAACGGCUGCUAAUACCGGAUGAUAUCGCGAGAUCAAAGAUUUAUCGCCUGAGGAUGAGCCCGCGUUGGAUUAGGUAGUUGGUGGGGUAAAGGCCUACCAAGCCGACGAUCCAUAGCUGGUCUGAGAGGAUGAUCAGCCACACUGGGACUGAGACACGGCCCAGACUCCUACGGGAGGCAGCAGUGGGGAAUAUUGGACAAUGGGCGCAAGCCUGAUCCAGCAAUGCCGCGUGAGUGAUGAAGGCCCUAGGGUUGUAAAGCUCUUUUACCCGGGAAGAUAAUGACUGUACCGGGAGAAUAAGCCCCGGCUAACUCCGUG